Molecule: ribosomal RNA, 903 nt
Filed under: Trechispora sp.
Lineage: Eukaryota; Fungi; Basidiomycota; Agaricomycetes; Trechisporales; Hydnodontaceae
Description: eukaryotic LSU rRNA
Rfam family: Eukaryotic large subunit ribosomal RNA
Source: RNAcentral
AUAUCAAUAAGCGGAGGAAAAGAAACUAACAAGGAUUCCCCUAGUAACUGCGAGUGAAGCGGGAAGAGCUCAAAUUUGAAAUCUGGCGGCCCCGCCGUCCGAGUUGUAUUCUGGAGAAGCGUCUUCCGCGCCGGACCGUGUACAAGUCCCUUGGAACAGGGCGUCGUAGAGGGUGAGAAUCCCGUCUCUGACACGGACCCCCGGUGCUAUGUGAUGCGCUCUCGACGAGUCGAGUUGUUUGGGAAUGCAGCUCAAAAUGGGUGGUAAAUUCCAUCUAAAGCUAAAUAUUGGCGAGAGACCGAUAGCGAACAAGUACCGUGAGGGAAAGAUGAAAAGCACUUUGGAAAGAGAGUAAAACAGUACGUGAAAUUGUUGAAAGGGAAACGCUUGAAGUCAGUCGCGUCUGCCGGAACUCAGCCUUGCUUCUGCUUGGUGCACUUUCCGGGCCGGACGGGCCAGCAUCGGUUUCGGGCGACGGACACUGGCGUGGGGAAGGUGGCAGCUCCGGCUGUGUUAUAGCCCCGCGUCGCAAACGCCGUCUGGGACCGAGGAAUCCGGCGAAAGCCUGGGAUGCUGGCGUAAUGGCUUUAAGCGACCCGUCUUGAAACACGGACCAAGGAGUGCUACGUGCUCGCAAGUGUUUGGGUGGGAAACCCGAGCGCGAAAUGAAAGUGAAAGUCGAUACCCCUCGCGGGGGCACCGACGCCCGAGCCUGAUGUUUUCGGACGGCCUUGCGGUAGAGCGAGUGCGUUGCGACCCGAAAGAUGGUGAACUAUUCCUGAGGAGGGCGAAGCCAGAGGAAACUCUGGUGGAGGCUCGUAGCGGUUCUGACGUGCAAAUCGAUCGCAGGACUUGGGUAUAGGGGCGAAAGACUAAUCGAACCAUCUAGUAGCUGGUUCCUGC